Molecule: ribosomal RNA, 427 nt
Filed under: uncultured prokaryote
Description: bacterial SSU rRNA
Rfam family: Bacterial small subunit ribosomal RNA
Source: RNAcentral
UGGGGAAUUUUCCGCAAUGGGCGCAAGCCUGACGGAGCAAUACCGCGUGAGGGAGGAAGGCUUUUGGGUUGUAAACCUCUUUUGUUAAGGAAGAAGCAAGUGACGGUACUUAACGAAUCAGCAUCGGCUAACUCUGUGCCAGCAGCCGCGGUAAUACGGAGGAUGCAAGCGUUAUCCGGAAUCAUUGGGCGUAAAGCGCGCGUAGGCGGCUAUCCAAGUCAGGGGUGAAAUCCCGGGGCUCAACCCCGGAACUGCCCUUGAAACUAGGUAGCUAGAAUACUGGAGAGGUGAGUGGAAUUCCGAGUGUAGAGGUGAAAUUCGUAGAUAUUCGGAAGAACACCAGUGGCGAAGGCGACUCACUGGACAGUUAUUGACGCUGAGGUGCGAAAGCGUGGGGAGCAAACAGGAUUAGAUACCCCCGUAGUCC